Fukomys damarensis (Damara mole-rat) is the source of this 681-nucleotide long non-coding RNA. RefSeq lists it as uncharacterized. NCBI's taxonomy places the organism in Eukaryota, Metazoa, Chordata, Mammalia, Rodentia, Bathyergidae. The record is from RefSeq and is a predicted model, not a curated record. The transcript has 3 exons.
CCAUGGAUCUUGUGCUGCUGCAUUGUGGUCCAUUCACAGCACAAUCUUUCUUCACUAUCCUCCAACUGGAGGCAAUACAUCCUACAUCCAGGGAAAAGGCGAGGAGAAUGGAGUCCUGGCCUUUCCAUCCACAGAGAGAGCUGAUGUCAACAGUUUCUACUGAAAUACUACUGAAAUCCUUCAGAACUUAGAACACAUCAGAACUAAAACCAUUUUUAAAAAUAAGAGAAUGGUUCAUAUUUGACUCCUGAGAAAACCGCCCAGAAGAGAAGAACGGCACAGUUCUGGAGGGUGCCAUGGCCCAUUGAGAUGAUGACCUAGCGUGACCACAAGUGGAAGACAGAGCAAUCAGAGGAAGCUGUGCAACCACCACACACACGUGGAGGAACACAUCUGCCCUGUCUUCUACAGGUAGGGGUGCUCAGGGAUGUUGAAAGGAGGAGGUAAUUACCUCGAGACUAUGGGGAUCAACACGCGGUAUAAUCAGCCUGGAGAGCAAGGCAGCAGGAGACACAACUGCAGGGCAGUGGGGCUUUCUGCGGAGGCAAGUGGCUGCUGGGAUCACAAGGCUGUGCUAAGCAGCUGCAGCACCACCUGUAUGUGCAGGGAUAUACUGAGCCACCGAGAACCCCCAUGUGGAGAAACAGGACAUCCCUGACAUGAACCUGAGUCCCUAAUAAA